RNAcentral lists this transfer RNA (72 nucleotides) under Marmota monax (woodchuck). RNAcentral describes it as "tRNA.Thr". The record is from RNAcentral. Lineage: Eukaryota; Metazoa; Chordata; Mammalia; Rodentia; Sciuridae.
GGGGUAGUAGCUCAGUGGAUAAAACGCUCACCUGGUAUGUGUGAGGCCCUGGGUUGGAUCCUCAGCACCACA